UACAGAGGGUGCGAGCGUUAAUCGGAAUUACUGGGCGUAAAGCGUGCGUAGACGGCUAUCUAAGUCGGGUGUGAAAGCCCCGGGCUCAACCUGGGAAUUGCAUUCGAGACUGAAUAGCUAGGGUACGGUAGAGGGAAGUGGAAUUUCCGGUGUAGCGGUGAAAUUCGUAGAUAUCAGGAGGAACACCAGUGGCGAAGGCGGCUUUCUGGACGGUAACUGACGCUGGAGACGCGAAAGCGUGGGGAGCAAACAGG
Molecule: ribosomal RNA, 254 nt
Filed under: uncultured bacterium
Lineage: Bacteria
Description: partial 16S ribosomal RNA
Rfam family: Bacterial small subunit ribosomal RNA
Source: RNAcentral